Molecule: unclassified non-coding RNA, 293 nt
Filed under: Hevea brasiliensis (rubber tree)
Lineage: Eukaryota; Viridiplantae; Streptophyta; Magnoliopsida; Malpighiales; Euphorbiaceae
Source: RNAcentral
AAAGAUCAAAGCUGUUGGAGGAGUCGCCGUUAUGGAGUAACAACAAUCUCUGUUGGAUUUAGCAGGUUCCCUCAUCCUGCAUUUCUUCUUUUUUCACAACGGAACAUGCCAAAAUUAACAUAAUUUCUCUUUGUUGGAUUUAGUUUCUUGGGUUAGGACGAUCACGUUUUGUUUAAUAGGUUUCGUGCUUUUUACAGCUUUGAAUAGGCAUGUUGAUUACAAUAUUUUGUAUCUGAUCUUGCUGCUAGACUGUUAAGAAUUCGAAAUAAUCUCGUGGAAUUAAUUUAGGUGCA